GGAUAUAGCUCAGUGGUAGAGCACAUGCUUAGCAUGUGCGAGGUCCUAGGUUCAAUCCCCAGUACCUCCA
This 70-nucleotide transfer RNA is filed under the name Camelus bactrianus (Bactrian camel). It matches the Rfam family "tRNA". From Rfam's summary of the family: Transfer RNA (tRNA) molecules are approximately 80 nucleotides in length. Their secondary structure includes four short double-helical elements and three loops (D, anti-codon, and T loops). Lineage: Eukaryota; Metazoa; Chordata; Mammalia; Artiodactyla; Camelidae. RNAcentral also lists the same sequence under 2 other names. The record is from Rfam by way of RNAcentral.